Molecule: ribosomal RNA, 460 nt
Filed under: uncultured bacterium
Lineage: Bacteria
Description: partial 16S ribosomal RNA
Rfam family: Bacterial small subunit ribosomal RNA
Source: RNAcentral
CCUACGGGAGGCAGCAGUGAGGAAUAUUGGUCAAUGGACGAGAGUCUGAACCAGCCAAGUAGCGUGAAGGAUGACUGCCCUAUGGGUUUUAAACUUCUUUUAUAAAGGAAUAAAACGAGGCACGUGUGCCUUUUUGCAUGUACUUUAUGAAUAAGGAUCGGCUAACGCCGUUCCAUCAGCCGCGGUAAUACGGAGGAUCCGAGGGUUAUCCGGAUUUAUUGGGUUUAAAGGGAGCGUAGAUGGGUUGUUAAGUCAGUUGUGAAAACUUGCGGCUCAACCGGAAAAUUGCAAUUGAUACUGGCAGUCGUGAGUACAGUUGAGGUAGGCGGAAUUCGUGGUGUAGCGGUGAAAUGCUUAGAUAUCACGAAGAACCCCGAUUGCGAAGGCAGCUUACUAAACUGUGACUGACAUUGAUGCUCGAAAGUGUGGGUAUCAAACAGGAUUAGAUACCCGGGUAGUC